This is a long non-coding RNA of Pistacia vera, 932 nucleotides long. RefSeq lists it as uncharacterized. The record is from RefSeq and is a predicted model, not a curated record. The transcript has 3 exons. Lineage: Eukaryota; Viridiplantae; Streptophyta; Magnoliopsida; Sapindales; Anacardiaceae.
UUUUCCUUUCCCGAAUUAUCAGAACAUCUUUUGGUAUUUUGGGGAUAACUUGGGCUACAAAUAUUAAAAUCAUGUGAUUCUUGCGGCGUUAAAAAGCUAAUUCGAAGGGCUAAAAUCUUUAUGUUUAUCACUUCGCCCAAAUCAACUGGAAUAGAGGAGAAACUCACGACAUAGUUUGAUGGUUUGGUAGAAUCAAGAUCCAGAAAAACGAGAGAUUGGUGAAGGAAUUCGUGGAACAGCCAUCUUCAUGGUAGUCUCAAGCAUUGACAUGGCGGAUUCUAAGUCUAUAUAUAUGGAUAUGGUUAAUGUGAGAGAAAGUGAUGAUGCUUCUAGGGAUUUUGACAACUAUGAGAGUGAAUUUAUUACCACUAAGAAAUCUAAAUUGGAUCAUUAUUUGGAAGAAACAAGGUUUGAUCACAUUAAAAAUCAAAAUUUGUGUAGGAAUCAUGUCAUGGCAAGCACGAAAUUACAAUAAAAAUUAUUGCCAUGGCAUGAUUCCAUUAUCCAAGAACACGAUUUCGACUGAAUAAUCAACAUAAAAUAACCAUACAAGGUUAUGUGAUUUACCUCCGUUGGCAUCUCCUUCUUUGGAUUUCUCCAACUAGUUGCUAUCAAUCCAAUGUAGGAUUGAGUCCAUCGGUAUCCACACGAAGGUAGGCUCGAGAUCACCCUAGGAUUGAUUGUUAGACCAAUCAAAAGGCUUAAGUGAUGGUGGCAGAAAAUUGAGAGAAAACUCUCAAGGGUGGCUAGGGUUUUUGGCGAGAGAGAGAGAGAGAGAGAGAGAGAGAGAGAGAGAGAGAAUAGUUUGAUUUUAUUCAAUUAUAUUUCCCAAAAGAAUUCUCUUGUGUUUAAACUAAAAACCCUCCUCUUUUUAUCGUGUAAAUCCAAAUAGGAAUUCAAUAAGGAUUACAAUCCUUGAAUCCCUAUUUUGG